UGGGGAACUGUUUUGUCUCCAAGAAAAUAAAAAUCUAGCUUAUGAUAUACAACUUUAAACCUCUAAUUGCUAAGGUCGGGUAUUCGCCUUGCCUGUGUAGAAGUCAAGCAACAAAACGACAUUGGCACAUUUAAAUUUAUGACAUAUUCAUCAAACUUUUUUUUCCAAAAGUUAAACAUCCAUUUUCGAAGCACAAAUAUAUGUUUACUGUUGAGGUUUUUUCCAAGGAAGUUGAUCAUCAAGAACGUCUUUUCAUAUAGAAGAGCUUGAGCUAAUACAUCCAUUCAUGUUUACAACUGCCAAGUUGUUACAUAGAAAGUUUGUGAUGAGGCUUCAUAUAAAUUUUAUGCAAAUGAUAAGGCAAAACAUUAGUUAUUCAUCGAUAGAGAUUCUAAAUUGAGAGUUUUAUAAAGUUGAGAGUUUCUUAAAAAUGUG
Molecule: long non-coding RNA, 435 nt
Organism: Arabidopsis thaliana (thale cress)
Lineage: Eukaryota; Viridiplantae; Streptophyta; Magnoliopsida; Brassicales; Brassicaceae
Product: other RNA
Exons: 2
Source: RefSeq